Molecule: long non-coding RNA, 293 nt
Filed under: Piliocolobus tephrosceles (Ugandan red Colobus)
Lineage: Eukaryota; Metazoa; Chordata; Mammalia; Primates; Cercopithecidae
Description: ST7 overlapping transcript 4 conserved region 3 (ENSPTEG00000023811.1)
Rfam family: ST7 overlapping transcript 4 conserved region 3
Source: RNAcentral
UGCUUACUCUUCCGGUGAUGAAGACAAGUGUGUUCCUGAAGAGGUUACUGAAUCCGGAGCUGCUUUUAGGGAGUUGCAGAUGGUGCAGGCCUCCCUCCCUCCUCAAGGAAGCCCAGGACACCAUCACAAUCAGGCAGCCAGGAGCCAGGGCUUCCAAAGGCCCAACUGUGCACUUGUAGGGGUAAGGAAUCUGGUAAAAGUAUGCUGGAGUCGUUCUUGGAUAUCUGCUCAGUAUCUUCUCAGUAUCUUGACCAUCUGUGAUAAUUUUAAUCCUCAUUUGAUCAUAUUUUAUG